Non-coding RNA from Pelobates cultripes (western spadefoot toad), 171 nucleotides. The record is from the annotation of a GenBank genome assembly. Lineage: Eukaryota; Metazoa; Chordata; Amphibia; Anura; Pelobatidae.
AUGCUAGAGCACUUUUUUCAAUGGGCUCCCCAACGACGCAUUCGUAUGAAAUCCAUAUCAACAUAAGGAUGCCAUUUACUGCGCCUACCAUGGUGACCACUUGUAAGGGGGAAUCAGGGUUUGAUUCCGGAGAGGGAGCCUGAGAAAUGGCUACCACAUGCAAGGAAGGCA